This is a long non-coding RNA of Cavia porcellus (domestic guinea pig), 3760 nucleotides long. RefSeq lists it as uncharacterized. The transcript has 2 exons. The record is from RefSeq and is a predicted model, not a curated record. Lineage: Eukaryota; Metazoa; Chordata; Mammalia; Rodentia; Caviidae.
CGCACAGAUAGCCAAACGCUGAAGGGGCCAGGUCCAGCGCUCGGCUAAACUUGCUGCCUGAGGUCCCCGACGUCUGUUUGGGGCUUUGUACCAUCGCAGCGAGGUGAUGCCAGGAGCACGCGGAUCAACGUGGGACACGCUGCAAAAGUUAGCGAGUGCCUCACGUACAGACUCCAAUGGACGGCGGCUGUGAGAGAAAAUACUAGAUGGACGCGGAAAGUUGAUGACUCGGAGAUGUCUGAGGUGUAGAAUUUGAGCCGAGCAAGGAGACGCACGCCUGUGACCCGAGUACUCUGGGAGGUUGAGGCCGGAUCGCAAAUUCCAACCCAGCUUAGCAGUUUAGCACUUGAGGAGACUGUCUCAAAAAGAGUGCGGGGAAGUGAGACUGGGGGUGUAGCUCAGUGCAAAGGUCCUGGGUUCCAUCCUCAAUACCGACCACAAAUCGCGUCUCAGAGUGAGGAGGCGGUGCCUGAAGCAAGGCUUCUCACACUAGUGAGACAAAUCGACGAGAACAACAUUCUUAUCCAGUUCCACUCUAUGAAUGCAGUGCAGUUCAGAGAGGUCACGACAGAAUUGUGAAAAGAGAAAAGGCAUCUACACAUGCAAAUCUUGGCAGUUUACUGAAGGAGACCUGUGAGGCACAGGGCCCUCCUACGCCCCAGCCCCAGUCCCCGGCGCCCUGACCUGCGGGGUCGGCCGCUCUCCUCGGGGGGCAGGACGGUAAUGCAGACCUUGGGUGCCAAGCGCAGCAGCUGGGCAGCGGCCUCAGGGCCGAGGCUGGGCAGUGUCCGACCGCACACGCGCAGCAGGCGUGCCCCAGGCCGCAGCCCCGCCUUCUCGGCGAAAGUGAAGCGCUCCACGUCUGUGAUGAAGCCCUCGGCGUCCACUUCAAAGCCCAGGCGGCCCUGACCAUCUCUGGGCGGCGCCAGCUCGCGGGUCUCGCAGCCCCGACUCACCAACUACCGGGCAGCAAGGGGGCGGGGCGUGGGUGAGGCCGGCCCAGCGCCACCCUCUGGGCAGCUCUCCGACAGGUCCAGCGACUGACCCAAACCCCGCGGGGGGACAAGAGGUCAUUUGCCCGAGGCCCUGUGCCAAGGCUGGCUCCGCGGCCCCCAUCCCACCCGAAACGCGGCGCACUGUUGCGGAGGUGGUGGCUGCAGCGCGGGCUCCGCCUCCGGUACACCAAGAGACCGCGGAUGCCUUCGUCCACCCGGGCUCACCUGCAGGCGUGUGACAACCUCGCCCACCGCUUGGCCAGGCGCCCCGUCGAACCGCAGUGUGAUCGCCUCCCCGCGACCGUGGUACAAGUCGAGUUGCUGCUCCGAGAAGGUCCAAGCCAGCACGUCGCGACAAGCACAAUUGAAGACUACGCGGCCAUCGCGCGGCGCCACCAGUACCAGUGUCUCUGCAGAGAUGCCCAGCAGACAGGGCACCUCGGCACCCUCGGGGCCUCCCGCUUCGGCUCCCGCUGCGACCCGAGUCCCCGGGGCCGCGCGCACGCCCCAGGUCAGCGCACCCGCCGCCUGCAGCUCACAGCCCGGGCCCCGAGGGGUCGCCCGGCGCCUGCCGCCCAGGGAGGGCAGGCCAAAGCGCGAGGCAGAGUCCAGCGACGUGGUGGUCACUUCGUUAGUGGCUAGGUCCUGUAAGUACUGCUGGCGUGUGCGCGUGGCCAUGGCAUGGAACUGGCGUGCGUGCCCGGCUGCCUGCUCGCCGUUGAGCGCCUUGGCCAGCAGGAAGGCGCGGAAGUCAGCAUUGGCUGCGAAGGGGCCUCCUCCGGGGGGCAGGGCUGGCCCGAAGGCCGGAGUGUCCUGAGUGCGGCUCACGGCCACCCUGCGUGGAAGAAGGCUGCAUGAGGGACGGCAGGGCAGGUCAAGGACUCGGUGCCCACAGGAGACCUAGGGCUACCCUGGCCCUCACCUGUAUGAGGUGUGCGGGGUGCAGGGUGCGUGGGCCCGCACCACUAUGAAUAUGUGCUGGAAGUGGGAGCGGAUGGUGGUGGGGCAGAAGGGCUUGCUGCCGGGCUCCUGGAACACGAUGGUCACAAUGUCAUUGCCGAUGUGGCGCUUCCUCAGGAGCUGCGGAUUAGAUGGUAAGGAGUGUUAGAGGGGCCGCGUGAUCUCCCCAAAUCCUCAUUUGGGCAAGGGAAAACCUUGGCACCAGUGGCUUCCCCACCUGCCCCUGUAAAGCCCUGAGAUGUUUGUCUUUGAGAAGCUGCCACAGGCCUGUUGGGGUCAGCAGACUAAGGUUCAAAGAUUGCCACCCUUGCAGCACCCUCCAGGGGUCCCCAGAAGGCCUUGGCCAUUCCCCAGCCCUGUCCUAGACCCCGAAUACCUGCUGCUGGUUAUUUGGGGUAUAAGGCAGCAUCGUGGAGACGUGAAACAUGAUCUCGUGGUCCUGGUAGGUGGUGUAGAGGGAGUGUGUACCUGUGGAAUCCGCUGUGGCCAGCAAGUUGGGGACACAGAGAGACAGCUAAGGGAAUCUUGAAUCACCUGUCCCUGUUCCCACUCGGCAGCAUCUGUGGCCCCACCAGCAGGUAGAUGACCCCUUCAUAUUACCAGCCAAGGCCUAGGCCACCAAGUCCAAGCCUCAGCCUCUGCUGCUUAGGAGUGGGGACGUGGUAAGAAUGGGCUCAGAGGAAGGCAGGAAGUAGGUGUCCCAGGGAAGGAUGGGUGUUGGCAUGAGCAUGUGGGGCACACUGACAAGUGGAAGGCAGCUAGGUACUCUGGGGCCUAACAUCCAGGGAGGCAGGGACACCUGCCCAGAGGCCAGGCUUCUGGAAUGUGUCAGAUUUAGGGGCUGUGCCCCUAAACACCCUGGCCACAGCUCAGGCAGUAGAACACCAGGUUCUUGGGGGACAAUCCCAGUCCCACCACCAGGGUGCCUACCCAAAGAGCUCUCUAGCAUUCAGCCCCAGCCUUUGGCCAAUAUGGACAAAGAAGUGUCAAAGUGGUUCAUUUGCCCCUCACACGGGACUGCCCCCAACCCUCCAGUGCCCUGCACCUCACUUUUGGUGUCCAGCUGGGCCCGAUAGCUGUCAAAGCCCUUGAGCCGCACCACGUCACCCAGCAAGGUGAGAAACUGCGUGAAGGCCACUCCCGCCUCCUCGUUGUUGUACAUCUCCUCCUCCGUGCCCUGGCCUGAGCGACAGUACAGGAUGCCCACCUUGCGCUGGAAGCUCAGCUGCGGGAAGGUCACAGACACCUCAGGCUUAGUCUCCCCUAGCCCCACCUCCACCGAGUCAUGGGGAAACAGUCAGGACACUGGCCAACAGGUGGGCUGCCUCUGUGUGUCUCCCCAGCCACCUCGGAGUCCUUGACGAUCACAUGGGUACAGUCUGCCCUGCUCCCAGUGCUCAGGGGCCACUAGAGGAGUCACCAGAGGGACGGAAUGGGGGGAGGUUAGUUUUCCAGUGACAAUAGAUGAAGGGAGUUGUAGAAAGAACCCCACACAGUGCAUAUGGUCUCAAUAAAUGUCCACGUUGGCAUCCUCAGCUGGCGGCCACACUGUUGGCCGGGGCCUUCAAAUUCUAGGUAGUUCUCCCUCACCUCCUGAGGGCUUGAGCCAUCUCAGCCCCGCCCCGCUCCCUGUCUCUGCACACUGCUCUGGCCCCUUCUCCUCUGCACUGAUCCCAUUAAAGCUCUGAUCCCAUGGUCCCCCCACCUCCCAUGUUCAGAAGCUUGGCAAUGGGGCACUUGGCGGGCAUGUGUGAGACCCUGAGUUCCAGCACCUGCACCACAAAAUAAAUAAAUUUAUGACAGGG